Molecule: ribosomal RNA, 431 nt
Filed under: uncultured bacterium
Lineage: Bacteria
Description: partial 16S ribosomal RNA
Rfam family: Bacterial small subunit ribosomal RNA
Source: RNAcentral
AACGAACGCUGGCGGCAGGCCUAACACAUGCAAGUCGAGCGCCCUUUCGGGGGAGCGGCGGACGGGUGAGUAACGCGUGGGGAUAUGCUCUUCUCUACGGAAUAGCCCCGGGAAACUGAGAGUAAUACCGUAUACGCCCUAUGGGGGAAAGAGUUAUCGGGGAAGGAUUAGUCCGCGUUGGAUUAGGUAGUUUGUGGGGUAAUGGCCUACCAAGCCGACGAUCCAUAGCUGGUUUGAGAGGAUGAUCAGCCACACUGGGACUGAGAAACGGCCCAGACUCCUACGGGAGGCAGCAGUGGGGAAUCUUAGAAAAUGGGGGCAACCCUGAUCUAGCCAUGCCGCGUGAGUGAUGAAGGCCUUAGGGUUGUAAAGCUCUUUCAGCUGGGAAGAUAAUGACGGUACCAGCAGAAGAAGCCCCGGCUAACUCCGUG